UGCUCACUUAGGCAGCAAACUAUUAAAAUUAGAACAAUACAGAGAAGAUUAGCAUGGCCCCUGAGCAAGGAUAACAUGCAAAAGGUAUCUGAAAUGUAUUAAGAUGUA
Molecule: small nuclear RNA, 108 nt
Organism: Leopardus geoffroyi (Geoffroy's cat)
Lineage: Eukaryota; Metazoa; Chordata; Mammalia; Carnivora; Felidae
Source: RefSeq, a predicted model, not a curated record